GCUGCUGUUGCAACAGCAAUUGUUGUUGCUGUUGCUGCUGCUGCUGCUGCUGUUGUUGAAGUGGCAAAGGCAGUGGCAGCGGCUGCUGUUGCUGCUGCUGC
This 101-nucleotide small RNA is filed under the name Drosophila guanche. The record is from RNAcentral. Lineage: Eukaryota; Metazoa; Arthropoda; Insecta; Diptera; Drosophilidae.